This is a long non-coding RNA of Pseudopipra pipra, 294 nucleotides long. RefSeq lists it as uncharacterized. The transcript has 2 exons. The record is from RefSeq and is a predicted model, not a curated record. Lineage: Eukaryota; Metazoa; Chordata; Aves; Passeriformes; Pipridae.
GAAGGCCACUGGGUUGGUCAGACAGGAUUUUUCCCCUGGAGAAGCUGUGCUGGCUGUCCCAAAUCACCUCCCUGUCCUCCAUGUGCCUCAGCAGAGCUUGUGGGAGGGUCUGUUCCAUGAUCUUCCCAGGCACAGAGAGCCUGGGAGAAAGGGAUGCUGUUCUGACAUCCCAUCUGCAGCCCUGACUGUUGUCCAUCAACCAAGAAAAACAUCAUAGCAGAACAUUUGCUGGCUGACUUGUGGUUUCUGAUCCAACUGGUUCCUGGUAAAAUAAACCAGAUUAGUUUUAACUAA